UGAUAUAUAAUGAUUAUAUAAUAAAUGAUUUAUAAGAAAUUACUUAAAGACGAUAAUCUUGAAAGAGAAGAUCUUAUAACAAAUUAGUGAAAUAUUAUUGAUAUAUUUCAUGUCACGUACCGUUUUGAUGUGCUUGAUGGAGCGCAGAUUUUGGUUGAAGCACAUAGUAGUGUCAUAAAAGGCUAUGAAAUUUUGGCGGCUGGAAAGAUGAGAAGACGACGUUGCGGUGUUCGCAGCGAUAUUUUAGCAUUAAAGACACCCUGUUCUGCAUACUAAAAUCCUGUGCACCAUCCAAAUAUACGUGCAACGUUAUAUGCAUGAAACCAUCGUGUGUCGUGUUUCGCGUGUGUAUUUAAGCACACUACUAGAGCGCAUGCGCAAGCUUCUAUCAUCCUUUUUCCACCGGUUACCAACAUCCUACGGUCUUUACCACCUAGCUUCGUAUUUAUAGUUUAUGUACAGGUAUAUGUGUCGUGCUAGAUAGUCUUACGUGAACUUUAAUAUUGCUUUAUACUUAUUCUCAUAUUGGAUACGAAAAAGAAGAAAAUCAUAGUAGAAUUGAAAAUAAGAAAUCUGUUAAAAUUUAUAGAAAUGGAGGAAUAAAUGUUGGAACAUCGUAACAUAAUCAGGAUGAGAGGAAACAAAUUUAAUAAGGCUAAUAAAGAUAAAUAUAUAAAUGCAAAAUGGUCGAAGGUAGAAGAUUUAUUGUUGUGCGACUGCAUCGCUACUGUACAGAGAACUGCAUUAAGGCGGUAGGAACUAUCAGAGAGGUUCUCUCUAGUUGCAACAUCGUCGGGAAACUACACCGAACAACUGUCUCGGCGUAACCGAACUCGAAUACAUCACCGUCGUAGUUUCAACCCGAAGCUUCCGGUACUUACCGAAAACUUAUCAGACAACGGAAGUGUCGUUGACUCAUAACCAUCGACUUAUUACCUCUUUAUUGCUUAAUUUUCAAAUAAAUAAUAAUGAUAUUAUUAUUAUUAUUUUUCUUUGCAUUAGGAAAGAUUGGAUUAAACUGGCGAACUGGUCAUCUUUCUUUUCUCUUUGUUAAUACAUAUUAUAAUAAUUUUUUCUUAUGUUUGUAAUUUACAAGGUGUUGAUU
Apis mellifera (honey bee) is the source of this 1105-nucleotide long non-coding RNA. RefSeq lists it as uncharacterized. The transcript is spliced from 2 exons. The record is from RefSeq and is a predicted model, not a curated record. NCBI's taxonomy places the organism in Eukaryota, Metazoa, Arthropoda, Insecta, Hymenoptera, Apidae.